AGAGUUUGAUCCUGGCUCAGGAUGAACGCUGGCGGCGUGCCUAACACAUGCAAGUCGAACGGUUAAGCCGGCUUCGGCCGGGAAUACAGUGGCGAACGGGUGAGUAACACGUGACCAACCUGCCCCCCGCUCCGGGACAACCGCUGGAAACGGCGGCUAAUACCGGGUACUCCGCGGGCCCCGCAUGGGGCCGGCGGGAAAGCCCAGGCGGCGGGGGAUGGGGUCGCGGCCCAUUAGGUAGUAGGCGGGGUAGAGGCCCACCUAGCCGACGAUGGGUAGCCGGACUGAGAGGUCGACCGGCCACAUUGGGACUGAGAUACGGCCCAGACUCCUACGGGAGGCAGCAGUGGGGAAUUUUGCGCAAUGGGGGAAACCCUGACGCAGCAACGCCGCGUGCGGGACGAAGGCCCUCGGGCUGUAAACCGCUUUCGGCAGGGAAGACAUCGACGGUACCUGCAGAAGAAGCUCCGGCUAACUACGUGCCAGCAGCCGCGGUAAUACGUAGGGGGCGAGCGUUAUCCGGAUUCAUUGGGCGUAAAGCGCGCGUAGGCGGCCGCCUAAGCGGAACCUCUAACCCCGGGGCUCAACCUCGGGCCGGGUUCCGGACUGGGCGGCUCGAGUGCGGUAGAGGAGAGCGGAAUUCCCGGUGUAGCGGUGGAAUGCGCAGAUAUCGGGAAGAACACCGAUGGCGAAGGCAGCUCUCUGGGCCGUCACUGACGCUGAGGCGCGAAAGCUGGGGGAGCGAACAGGAUUAGAUACCCUGGUAGUCCCAGCCGUAAACGAUGGACGCUAGGUGUGGGGGGACGUGCCCUCCGUGCCGCAGCCAACGCAUUAAGCGUCCCGCCUGGGGAGUACGGCCGCAAGGCUAAAACUCAAAGGAAUUGACGGGGGCCCGCACAAGCAGCGGAGCAUGUGGCUUAAUUCGAAGCAACGCGAAGAACCUUACCAGGGCUUGACAUGCGAGUGAAGCCGGGGAGACCCGGUGGCCGAGAGGAGCUCGCGCAGGUGGUGCAUGGCUGUCGUCAGCUCGUGUCGUGAGAUGUUGGGUUAAGUCCCGCAACGAGCGCAACCCCCGUCCCGCGUUGCCAGCAUUAGGUUGGGGACUCGCGGGAGACUGCCGGCGUCAAGCCGGAGGAGGGUGGGGACGACGUCAAGUCAUCAUGCCCCUUAUGCCCUGGGCUGCACACGUGCUACAAUGGCCGGUACAGAGGGUUGCCACCCCGCGAGGGGGAGCGGAUCCCGGAAAGCCGGCCCCAGUUCGGAUCGCAGGCUGCAACCCGCCUGCGUGAAGCCGGAGUUGCUAGUAAUCGCGGAUCAGCACGCCGCGGUGAAUACGUUCCCGGGCCUUGCACUCACCGCCCGU
Molecule: ribosomal RNA, 1363 nt
Filed under: uncultured bacterium
Lineage: Bacteria
Description: 16S ribosomal RNA
Rfam family: Bacterial small subunit ribosomal RNA
Source: RNAcentral